This is a long non-coding RNA of Stegostoma tigrinum, 2697 nucleotides long. RefSeq lists it as uncharacterized. The transcript has 3 exons. NCBI's taxonomy places the organism in Eukaryota, Metazoa, Chordata, Chondrichthyes, Orectolobiformes, Stegostomatidae. The record is from RefSeq and is a predicted model, not a curated record.
GCCUGAUUAAAGUCGUAGUAGCUGAAGGUGUGUGGGCUGAAGACACUACGCCGCAGAAUUCUUGCAGUGAUAUCCAGGCGCUGAGACGAUUGCACUCCAAUGCUGUCAGGCUUGCUGACUAUUCCAGCAACUUUUGUUUUUGCUCCUGAUACACACCAUCCAAAAUUCUUCAGGAGGAGUUCGAUAUAGUUCUGAGGACCAAAGAGAUAAAAUGAUGUGGGGUCCCUGAGCUGGAUGAUCAGCCGAGAUUAAUUUGAAGAUCAGAACAGGCAAGAAAGGAUGAGUGGACGAUUCUUACUCCAAUGUUUGAAGUUUCCACCAUUACCAGAGAAAUGGAAAGGAGUGACGAGGAUAAAGUGAGAGCUGGGAAUAACAGCACAAUGUAUAAAUCACUGCGAAUGGAGAAAUGGGAUAAAGACCUGGGAUGGAUUCAGAGAAUGAGUACAGAACAGAAAGCUGCUGUUCUGCACCAUAUCUGCCACAGUAAUGAGGCACACCAAGGUCCAUCAACUAUCUACAAUCUGCGUUUACAAGGCUAUGGGAUGGUUAUGGAGGAACAAGUUGAGAUGCAAAACAGGGCAGGAGAUCAUCCAUCACCGCCCUCACCCUCAACCCUUACGGAUUACAGAGGUUCAUCUUGGUCUGUCCCACUCUUUGGCGGGACUGGGUCCAGCUUCACGAAGUUGCCAGCUGAUAGUCAGUUGUGUAAACUUGGCCGGGUUGGAAUGUUUCAAGGAGCAGAUCAUGGGCGGUAUCGGAGCAGGCACCUUCUCUGCUCCUCUUCAUCCUCCUGUUGUGGCUCUUUUACUGGGGCUCUGUUGGUGACUGUUUCUAAACUCUUAUCUCCACAUCCUCGUAUUGUACGUAUAGGUGGCUAUGGUGAGCCCUCGAAUUUUUAAAAGGUCAAUGUCUUAUCAGUGUUACUUAUGCAUUUCUUGUAACAUUUUUUAAAAUUCAAAUAGAACCGCUAAAUCCAUUUUGCCCCUCCAGUUGUUUUUACAUAAAACUCCAUUCUUGGAUGUGAACAAAUUUAAGUAGCGUCAAACAGGAAAUAUUGCCAAACCGCAGCAGUCUGUUGACCAAGUAGGAGGAGACCAUGUGAACCACGAGAAUCCCUAUGCUUUCUUUCUGAGAAUUCUCACGCUGAGAUGAGGAAUGAACGCAGAUAGUUGUAGAAGUCAAGAAACACAAUUGACAUUUGUGUUGCAUUAUCACUAUAAUGAAAUGUUCACUAGAAUUUCUCAGAUAUUAUAUUACAAGAUUUAUCACAAAGAGACAUAAUACUGAUGAUCAAGAGUGUUGCAAAAUGUAUCAGCUUGAAGGGCAAUUUUGAAAAGGAGAGAGUCAGAGAUGUUUGAAGCGGGAACUACAGAACUUGAGGCCAAUUAUUGAGGUUAUUAAUGGAUGGAAAAGGACAAUUUCAGAUGCUGCCAGGAUUGCUGAGUACUUACCGCACUUUCUUUCUGCAUCUGUUCUUAGUUCUGAGGACUCAAGGGAUCAAAUUGUUUGAGGAUAAAGGUCCUUCACUCGCAAAUCUCCAACCUCAGUAGUUCGCUGCAUACAGUGACUGAUUUUAACGGUAGUCAACUAUUUUAUGUGGUAACUUUUCUCCCAAGUCUUGACUUCACAAUUGACCAGAUUAAUUUCUCUCAAUUUAAAAACCUGCGUAUCUUCUCUUUUCUCCGUUCUUUUCCUGUUUUGAAAGAUUGAUUUGCAACUUGAGGUGCAGAUGAAACCAUAUCCAGAUCUGACAGCCACUCUCUUCAUCAUAACCAAAUUGUCAAAGUUUUUGAACAUUGAAGAAAAAAAUACCACUCAUACUGGAGAGGAACACACUUUCUCUCUGUGUGGAAGUGUCUGUGAAGAUUCAUCUAAAAGGUCAAAACACCAAAGCAGUCAUAUUAGAGACAGUGUGGAAAUGUGGGGAUUGUGGGAAGUCUUUUUUUAAAAGAAUCAUCACAGCUGAAAGCUCACCAACUCAUUCUCUUAAAAAAUUGUGUUGAGUAAUCGUGAAUUGGAAGGCAGGAAGCGAGAAUUUGUUUGUAAAAUAACAAUCAGGGACAAGAUUGUAUGGUACCUUUAAGGGAUAGUCCUUUUCUAAGCUUAGGGAUUUAUACUGAGAGAGAAAAUUAAGUGUCUGCAUAUAGCUGAAGGUGUACAGCCCGUUCUAAAAUUGAAACACGUAUCAAUUGGCUGUGUGAACGGAAACCUUGAAAUGGUGUUUUGGCAAUGAGCUGGAAUCAGCCAAUUUGUCUAAUCCAAGCAUUAGCAAUUCAAAGACAAUUGAAUUUAAACCUGGUGGUUUUGAUAGUUUAGCAUGAAUGCUAUUGUAAUAAAAGUGACAUGUCAUCCCAGUAGAUAAAGAGAGAUUUUGAAAAUCAGUGUGAGAAUGAAUGGUCAUCUGAGAAGUAAUCAUCUAUCUCUCACGAGCAAUCACUGAGGUCUCUAAGAAAGCACCUGUAUCCAUAAAAGUCACCAUGGUAUUUCUAGUUAAGAGCCCUCACAAAGGACUUCACAGAGAAAACAUCCCUGACACCCGGAUCCGUGGAAUAAAGGCAUUUAUGACGUGAGAGCAGCAGAAAUAAAGCGCGUAGACUUUGAGAGACUAAGAUUUUAUUUUCUUGUCUUACUACUUGGGUUAUAUAAGUGGGACUUCUGUUUAUUGGAAUAGCAUACCAGUAGAACUUAGUCCAUUUA